UCCCCUUCCUCCUGAGUUUUCUCCCUUUUUAAGACCCAACACUUCUUCCAUCAACUCUUCCUUCUGGGCUCUGAAGAAUUGCUCCGGGGCCUAGCAGGCAACUCAGAACUGUAGACAAGCCUUGGGACUGAGUGCUUGUGGUACGGCCUGGCUGUUUCUAGCUUGGCCCUUCCUGGAAUGAGAGCCUUUUGCUCACCUGCAGGAGAGUGUGUGUGUGUGUGCACGCGUGCACGCAUGUGUGUGUGUGUGUGUGUGUGUGUGUGUAAUUGCAGCAUCACAC
RNAcentral lists this unclassified non-coding RNA (280 nucleotides) under uncultured bacterium. RNAcentral describes it as "contains 16S-23S intergenic spacer region". The record is from RNAcentral.